AAAAAGAACAUUUCAAUAAUUGAAUUUCAAAUAACUGAAUAAUCAAUUAACCAGAAAUGAUUGGAUUCUAAACAUAAAACGUACAAACCUUAUAGCUUCGAUUCAAUAUUUUCUUCCCAAUAACAAAAUAUCCGAAUUGACGAAAACGAAGCACCAUCGAAUUUGCUAUUCUUUCGAAAGCAUUCUUCAUAAAAUCAACAGGUUUUCUAUUCUAACUGGCACAAUGCGCGUACCAUUGAGACUUGGAAUCGAUAUUUUCAAUUCAUCAACGUGGCCACCUCCUGUUUCGUAGAUCUCCUUUCGGCCGGUGCAUACGCUUUCACGCACAUAGGACAUUGAUACACAGAGUUCUUUCAAUCUCGAGAGAUGAACAAGUUCAUUUGUAAUUUCGCGUAUGUAUUCCGCGCCAAGAUUGAAAAUCAUUUUUCAACCAGGAUAAGUGUGCGUGUUUGCGCGCUUAGGGAAUGCGAAAGUGAAAAAUGAAAGGAAAAAAAAAAAAAUGAAAAUUCCAUUCUUUUGGGAUCGAACGUUCUCAAAGGGAACGUUCUCUGUGAGAUUAUACACUUUUUGAUGAGUUUUCAAUUUUUCGAUAGUACUGGAGGCCAUUGAAUAUUAUAGAAGAUGAUGUUUACACCUCCAUCUUAAUUAUUACUGACACGAUUAACUCUAUCGAUUGGUUAUUAACUACAGCUUUAUGAUAGCAAACUACUUAGCAAGAUGACCUAUUUGAGUUGGAUUAAUGACUAUCAAGGGAAUUGUGCAAGAUGAUGUACAUCAAUUUCGGCGAAAUUAUAGAGAGAAAUAGAGAAUUAACAUUUCCAUUUCUCAACUGGUUUUAAUUACCAUUGAUAAUACAUUUAU
Molecule: long non-coding RNA, 861 nt
Organism: Apis florea (little honeybee)
Lineage: Eukaryota; Metazoa; Arthropoda; Insecta; Hymenoptera; Apidae
Source: RefSeq, a predicted model, not a curated record